GGUCAUUUGGUUUAGUGGAAUAAGUCUCCCCUUUGUAAGUGGGAGGUCGUGAGUUCAAAUCACAAUAGACUA
Molecule: transfer RNA, 72 nt
Filed under: Rosa chinensis
Lineage: Eukaryota; Viridiplantae; Streptophyta; Magnoliopsida; Rosales; Rosaceae
Description: tRNA RchiOBHm_Chr3g0484881
Source: RNAcentral